CAUUUCCAAACCCAAAUGCUCCGCGUGUGUUCCUGGCGCUUUGGGAAACCUCUUUUUCCCCAGGAUGCGGCUCCUGGGAGGGAUGUUCUUGUGGCUGCAGGGGCUGGUUUGGGGGGGCAGGAGGACGCAGCCCCCACCUCACCCAGUGCUCAUCCCUCCCGGGACAGCAGCCCUGGCCGUAGGGAGUAGCUGAGGUUAAUUUGGGGUGAUUUCUCUGGACUGGGGGCAGCCUGGGCAGUGCUGCUCAGCUCCUUUUUCUUUUCCUGGGUUUCUGUUGCCCUCUAGUGGGACCAGCGCUGGGAAAAGGGCUCAGACUGGGGGUGCUGGGGGGCUCAGCUCUGCUGAGACCGCGGGGUGCGGAGCACCGGGGGGCCCCUGGCAGACACCUCCCGCUGGCCCAAGCGCCUUUCCAGCAACGCAGCUUCUGCUUUGGAAGCAUUUUUUUCACAAGACAUUAUCAACCUCAGCAGAAUGAAGGACGGAUGGAAAUCAGACAGAUGUGAAAGGCUGGGAAGGAGGAAGAUCUUUUCAAGCAGAAAGGCUGCAGUGCCCUGAGGUGCAGAGGCAGCGACACAGGAGACACAGCCCGUGGGGUCCCGGUGGCUUUCGCAGGAUGCCAGGCCGGUGUCAGAGGCUUCGUCACUGAAGGGAAGGGACUUUGUUCGUGGAGGAGCAGAUGCCGCGGGACAGAGCUGCCCGGGGCCCCCCCAGUGCUGCAGAGCGGGAGGAACGUGCACGUGAAGCGGCGCUGUCAGGAACGUGAGUGCCAAAACCAAAAUAUCCCAAUGCUUGGUGGGGAGAGGAUGCUCUGGAGAGACAGUGGAGAGCGGGGUCAGGGAGAGCAGCUGGCACAGAGAGCCAGGAGUGCGGCCCCAGCCUGCAAACGCCUGACAGCUGCGGAGAAUUAAUUCAGGUAUUGAUUAAGAGGGAUGUACAGCCUGAGCUGCUGUGUGUCCCCCUGCAGCCCUUCCUGGUCCUGCCCUCGCCCUUUUCCUCUUGCAGAUACCUGUGAGGUUUCCUCAGGAGUCAGUUUGGUGAGGCUUUGCCUAAACCCAGGGCUAACCAGGGGUUUAGGGGGAGCUGCAGCCCCACAUCUCGCAAUGGGGAUGUGGCUGGGAAUGCACUGUUCUGUAAGCAAAAAUCAGCUUUAAACUGGGAAAACUGGGGGCUGGGUGGGGGUGAGCGAGUCCUGCUUUGCUGCAGUACAGGGGGGUUUGAUGCUUCUUCAUCUCCUUUGGGUUUCUCUGUGUUGGCUCAGUUAUUUUUCUCAGGCCAAAUGGGAGAGAAAAGAGAUUUCUUGCUUCUGCUCUGGGGGGUUGGAAAUGGGUCCCGUUGGUGCUGGGAGGAGGGUGUCACAUCUGGCUGUCCCCAGGGCCUCCGCUCUGGCUGGUGUUGUCCCCAGGCCCCAGCUGGGGAUGGGUGGCUCUGCUUUCCCUUCCAACCCUCCAAGGCUGCAAAUAACCUCAUAAAAAUAACCAAAGAGGCAACCGGACUCUCUCAGGGAAAAGAAAUAACCCCAGGAAAGCAAAGCUAUGGCAAGGGAGUGUUUGUGAGUCGGGGAGGGCUGGAGCCAUCAGCCCUUCCGUGCGUUUCGGGUGGAGAGCGCUUUUCUCAAAGCAAGGUUUUAAUUUUACCUGCAAAUCAUCCCACGGGACAGCAGAGCAUCUGCAGGCGGCCAGUGCAGCCCCAGCGCCCUAAAACCACCAACCUCAGGGCAAAAAAUGGCCUUUACUGAAAAAAGGUCAUUUAGAGUGGGUCCAGGUGCCGCAGGGCAGGGCGGUGCUGGUUCCAUCUCCCGCAGAGCAGGACGGGAUUAACAGCCCGUUUCUGCUGGGCUCAGCAAUCAGCGAUGCCGCCGGCUGCCCAGGGCUGAGCUGAGCUGACAAAUUGGAGAUGAAAAGGGUUCGUGUCGCGGUGACGUUUUACUGGGUCAUGCCCCGUAUUUACAUCCCGGUCCCAUCAUUACCAACAGGCAACAUCAACACGGUAGGAUCUGCUGGCACAGAAACUGCUCGGCUUGCAGCCGCCCGAGCCUCUCGCCCCGGCACCCGGCAGCGCUGAAUGGAAUUAAAUUGAUCAGUAAAACCACCGCGAUGGCUCUGGCUGGGAUGGAGCCGCUCGCACAGGGGCAGGAGCGACCUGGCGUGCACAUCGCGCUCCGUGCCAGUGGAGCCUGGAUGCACAAGAGGCCGAAAUCUUUCAUGUGCUGCUCAAGCUGCGUGGGGAGGAAAAGCCCCCAGGCAGCAAAUUUGGGAGGCAGAAAGCACUGGGCCAGCCUUCGGAUGGCUUUGCUAACCUGAUUUCAUGGAAACGCAUGUUUGCGAAGCGUGGCAGCAGCUGACGGUCCUGGAGGGCGGCUGGGCGCUCUCGCAGGCUUGGCUAAUGCCCCCCGUACCCCAAAAUUUCCUCGUAAUCAUUAGAAAUGUAUUCUAUUAGCAGCCCGUGCGGGGGCGGCGAAGGGCCGGGGGGGCAGGUGUUCGUGCUGCGGCUCCAGCGCUCGCACCCCAUCAGCCACCUGGGUGGGAGCCAAGGCGGGGGCGGCCCCCCCUGGCCUGUGGGCUCGACCGGAGCGGCUUUCCGCCCCGCAGAUCGGGUUGCCCAUGGAACGGCGCCUGGACCAGGUGUUUUGGGCUUGAUAGGGCAGAGCCAGGGGGUCUGGGGGGGUCUGGCCAUGGGGCUGAGCAGUGGGGGGGGCACUUUGCCUUCUCAGCCCCUUCCUUGCAGCUUGGCAGCAACAGGCUGAGCUGAGCCUGCCCAGCCUGGUCCCCUGGGCUGCUGGGGGGGCUCUGACCUUCCUGGGGGGUCACCCAGAGCACAGGAGCUUUGGGUUCACACGCAGGGUCUGCGGGCUGAGAGCAGCCAGACGGGUUUGUGUUCAACCCAGCCCCACGUUGUGUUUGGGCUCUUCCCCACAACCCGGCACCAUCCGGACCCCCCCAUGAAAACGCUGCAGCGACUGUGUGUGCCCCACCGCUCACCCCUGCCCCUCCAGCUGCCUUUUCCCCACCAAAAAGCAACAAAUCCAGCCCCAAAGCUGCAGAUUUGCCCCUCAACAGCUGCGCUUCCAGCCUGGCCGUGUCCCUGCGGAGGGGUCAGGGUUGCACGGGCAGCAGGUCCUGGACCCGGGGCUGGCGGGGCCGUGAUUGAUGAGCCCCUUCCCACCCCUGGGGCUGCAGCUUUGCUGGUUUGAGCCUUUGGGGGAAUUUCUGCCUUUCUUGCGGCUCUGCUUUUCAGCUCACUGGGUUGGAGCCUUCCUGCUCUGCUGGAGAGGGCUGCGAGGUCGCGGGGGGGCGGGAAAGCAGCUUUUAACGAGCAAAGAGGCUGCGGUGCUGUGCUUGGCACUGCUUUGCUGGAGCGAUAUUGCCCGUUUUACCCCCAAACCACCCCCUCUGCUCUCCCCGAACCUCUUUUCCCAUGGCCAGACCCGUGUUUGGGAGGGGGCAGAGCCCGGUGCAUUGUGCACACUGGCGUUGACAAGCUUGGCCUCCCCAGGGAGCAACCCAUAUGGAUUCGGUCUUGGAAAACCACGCUUCGGAUAACGAUGCGGCUUUCCUAAUUAGUGCGCCUGCCGGGCCCCAGCCAGCACGCAACAGCGGGUGGAUCCCUGGAUCCGGGCUGAUUUGCAGCAGGAGGCUCCAGGUCCAUGGGCGCCCCGACCUGUGAUGGAGCGUCUGGAGACCCCGGUCCCAUCGCCCCGAGCUCCUGUGGCAGCAAAGGGGGCGAUUCAUGGGGGGACAGGGGUUUGUUGGGUCAGAAGGUCUCCCAGCGAAUGCAAGACUUUAUUUUUCUCCUGACGAAGCACAGCCAAAGCCGAGCCAGGGGGUGCUGGGGGUGCUUGUUUGGGGCCAGGAAGAGGCACCAAAACCAGGGCAAAUACAGGUCCUGGGGACUGGGGAUGCCCUUGAGGGGGCUCAGGGACCUUCUCCGGGUGGGGUGAGAUCUGCAGCGACCCCCCUGCGCCCCCGGGCUCCUUCCCCUGCCAGCGCCUGCUUAUGCGUUUUACCCAAUUACUGCUUAAUGCAAAAUGCAUAAGGAGCCCUUGGAGCGGGGACAGGAGCCCAAAGCUCGGCUUUGCCGUCCUCGGCCGCGGAGCCGAGCCUUUCGGAUGGUUUCCAGCCCUGAUUCAAUGACUUCAUGAGAAGAUUUCUCUGUCUUUUUUUUCAGUUUCUGGUUAAUUUCUUUCUCUGAUUCAGCAGCAAGAAACAAAUCUGGAGGCUGAAUCUGUGUAUCACACAGGCUUUCGCUACUAUUUUAAAGGCUUUUGCAUGGGGGAGUCGGGGCUGCUUUCCAGGGGUCCUGAGCUGGCCCACGGCAAACCCCCCAGAUCACAAACCCCCCAGAUCACAAACCCCCCAAAUCACAAACUCCCAAAUCGUGGGGGCUCUUUGAAAGCCCAAACCCCGCCGGCAUAAAGCGACCGAGCCCACGGUGCCGCUGGCGCUUGACCUGAGACAGGAAAGAAACAGCUUGUACAACCCAGCCCUGUUGUGGCUUUUGAGGUUUUAGCAAGUUAAAGCAACAAAUAGCCCAUUUAAGUGAAAGCUACACUGCAGGCCGGUCCCCGGGGAGCCCCGAUCCCAAGCCAAAAUCCAAGAGAGCAAAGGGAGAAAAAUCAAUCAUUGCUAUAGGAAAUCAAACAAACUCCAAAGCUGUUUUCCCAUUCUUCCCUUGGCAAAUCCCCUUUUCUGGCUCAGAUUUUGACAUUCUUGUUUCUGAAGUGGACAUAGACAGGGCUGGGGAUGCAUUUCCCUGCCCCACGGCCGGGCUUCGCCCCAAAGCAGGGGCUGACCCGGGACCCCGAAUCUCUCUGUUAUUUUAAUAGAGACGUACCCUGCGAGAUGAUUAACCACAGGCCUUUUGAAAGUCUGGCAAAUAAUUUUUCCAACCUAAUUGGGUUUGCUUCUCUUAUUUCUGCAGCUUGUGUGCUCCUUAUUUCGUUAUUUAUAGAAAACAUCUGUCUGAGUGUCAGCCAACCCUUAGGUGGGAAACCGAGUCUUGGCGAUCUCUUUGCUCUACACAGCCGGGGUGGAACCGCAGCUCUGCCAAGGGGAGUCGUGGUGACCCCGCGGGUCCCUGUGGGGGGACAUUCACAGGUUUUGGGGGUGACAAGGUGCCCACAGGAGCCUCCUCGCACCCAAAAGGAGCGGGAGGGCAGGGGAAAAACAGCAAUAACCUGAAAAAAGCAGGUAAAUCACGCUGAAAAAAGCCCUUUGAGGGAGGCGGGAGCUCCUCCAGCCCAGCACGGUGAACGGGCAGGGAAAACCAGGGGUUGUUUUUCCAGGUAAGAAGCUGCAGGAUGAAUGUGUGGUAAUGCUGACUAAGCCAGUUAUUACAGCCGUGAUUAACCCUGGUAAUUAAUCUCUGGGACUGAGCAUGGCAGAGGUCGGCGUGCUCAGCGCUGGCGGGAGAUGUGGUGUAAUUGCUGUGGGGAUGUCAAUUCUCGCUCUCUGCACCCAUUUCUGCUCAUCCUUUAUGGUUUUGGGAUGUUUUUUCUCAUCCUCACUGCAUUCGGGAGCCGAGGCUGGAGGGGCCUGUCCCGGUGGCAGCAGUGGGGACAAACCCCCGUCCCUGCUGUGCCCGCCGGGCUGGGGCGCAUGGGAUGGGGUCAGGACCAGCUGCACGCAGGCGAAGGGACAAAUCCCAGGAUGCAAAACUGCUUUGGUGGGUGGGAACGGGGAGGGAACCAAGCCAGGGCGGUGGAUUAAUCAGGGAAGAUCAUGCGGUGAGUUUAUGGCAGCUGGAAAUCAGCUGCAUCCUCCCCAGUGCUCCACUAACCCCAGAGCAUCUUCCCCCGGGCACCAUUCCGAGAGCUUUGUCCUGUGGGAAUAGCAUGGAGGUGAGAGCUGAGCUCCCAAACACCUUUAUCCCGCUGCUUUCAGACUGCAAGAAAUACUAUAAGUCCAAAAAUAAAAAGCAAUAUGCAAUAUA
Columba livia (rock pigeon) is the source of this 5928-nucleotide long non-coding RNA. RefSeq lists it as uncharacterized. The transcript has 2 exons. NCBI's taxonomy places the organism in Eukaryota, Metazoa, Chordata, Aves, Columbiformes, Columbidae. The record is from RefSeq and is a predicted model, not a curated record.